UGAGCAAAAAUUUAAAUGCACCAUGUGACACCUUAAAUUUUAACAGCAUUUGCUGUUGCACAAUAUAUUCAAUAGCACACAAUGUAUUUUGUUGAUCAGUGUGUUACAGAUUACUGUCCAUUAGAACAUGAUAGUGGCGUGUGGCAUUCAGGGACAUUCAUGUGGACACGGUGGGGGCCAGUUGAAAGAAAUCACAACUCCAUAUCUUGUGUGCCCACCAUUGGCUUCCCGUAGAGAGACACAUCGUCUUCUCAUGGAGUUGACAAUAUUCUCAUUUGUGACCUGUGGCAUGUUAUUCCACUCCUCUUUGAGGGCGACACGGAGCUGUGGGAUGUUAUCCGGAACCGUUCUCACAUGAUUUGCGACAUCUGUGUCAUGGUGAUCAUCUAAGGAACUGUGACAUUUUGAGGUGUCCUUUUAUUGUCCCCAGUAUAAGGAGUGUCUGAAUACUGUUACAGGGCUGUGUCUG
Molecule: long non-coding RNA, 469 nt
Organism: Sphaeramia orbicularis (orbiculate cardinalfish)
Lineage: Eukaryota; Metazoa; Chordata; Actinopteri; Kurtiformes; Apogonidae
Exons: 3
Source: RefSeq, a predicted model, not a curated record